CAGAAGGUAGUUUAGUUAAAAAUGCCAGCUUUGGGGGCUGGGGAUGGGGGUUUGAGUCCCCCCUUUCUGA
RNAcentral lists this transfer RNA (70 nucleotides) under Coturnix ypsilophora (Swamp quail). RNAcentral's name for it is "tRNA-Pro". It matches the Rfam family "tRNA". From Rfam's summary of the family: Transfer RNA (tRNA) molecules are approximately 80 nucleotides in length. Lineage: Eukaryota; Metazoa; Chordata; Aves; Galliformes; Phasianidae. The record is from RNAcentral.